CACGGGGGGAGCAAGCGUUGUUCGGAAUCACUGGGCGUAAAGGGCGUGUAGGCGGUCAGGUAAGUGGGACGUGAAAUCCCUCGGCUCACCCGAGGACCUGCGUCCCAUACUGCUUGGCUUGAGUAUGGGAGAGGAUGAGGGAAUUCCUGGUGUAGCGGUGAAAUGCGCAGAUAUCAGGAGGAACACCAAUUGCGAAGGCAGCUCGCUGGGACGUUACUGACGCUGAGACGCGAAAGCGUGGGGAGCAAACAGG
This 253-nucleotide ribosomal RNA is filed under the name uncultured bacterium. RNAcentral's name for it is "partial 16S ribosomal RNA". It matches the Rfam family "Bacterial small subunit ribosomal RNA", at positions 524 to 776 of the family's 1533-position model. The record is from RNAcentral.